Molecule: long non-coding RNA, 15468 nt
Filed under: Lotus japonicus
Lineage: Eukaryota; Viridiplantae; Streptophyta; Magnoliopsida; Fabales; Fabaceae
Description: long non-coding RNA (LJAP_LNC002103)
Source: RNAcentral
AUGAGAUAUGGUUUUUUAUACAUUCUAAGUAAUAAAUUUGUGGGAGAUGGCUUGAUUCAAGCAAUAGUGUAGUGUAUGUAAACAGUAGAUAUCGAUUUGGGGUUCCUGAUUUGACAGUUGUUCUAAUUUGCUAAUUUUGUUUGCAUUUCCCCCUUUUUAUAUUUUAUUAUUCUAAUACAAUAUGAUUUUUCUUAACUAGAGUUUGAUUUUUGUGCAUUUUAACUUCAAUAUCAAACAUUUCUCUUCUCAUUUUCUUGAAACCGAUCAUCUGUUUACAUUCUUAUUUAAGAUUUACUGCAUUUUUUUUGGCUUGAGUAUGCACUUCUGAGAUACUGGCAUGGCGGAUAGAACAUCAUAUUCAUAGGCUUUAGAUGGAUUCAUACGUCAUAUUGAGGUUUUGAACUUGACUUUGAAAUACUUGAAUGCAUAGGACAAGCAUUAAUGGCUAUCAAGGCUUCCUUGAGCAACAUAGCAGACGUGCUCCUUGAUUGGGAUGACGUGCACAAUGACGAUUUCUGCUCCUGGCGUGGAGUCUUCUGUGAUAAUGUCAGCCUUACUGUGCAAUCUCUGUAUAUCUGCUAUCCCUGCAACUAUUUCCUUGUUUUUAAUCUAACCAAUUAGCUUCAUUCUUGUAUUAACUGCUUGUGAUAACUGAUAAUUAUGAUCUAAUGCUUUGUGAUGUUUAUGAAGGAAUCUUUCAAGCUUGAACCUGGGUGGGGAGAUAUCACCAGCUAUUGGGGAUUUAGUAAACUUGCAAUCCAUGUAUGUAUAUUUGCUUGAUUGCUUGAUGUGGUUAAACCUUUUGCUAUUACAUUUUCAUCUCAAAUUCGCAUGUUUAUGUUUAACCUUUGAUUUGUAUGUGACAGAGACCUGCAAGGGAAUAAGCUAACUGGUCAAAUCCCAGAUGAAAUUGGAAACUGUGCUGAGCUCAUUCAUUUGUAGGAAUCUAAUUAGUUUGUUUCUAUUCUAUUAUUAAUUUUGUUAUUUAUUUGUUAAGUGUAUUUUGUUGGAGUUUUUCCUUAUGACACAUGCUUAUCAUCUUCCAUAUGCAAUUCUAGGGAUUUGUCUGAUAAUCAGUUAUAUGGUGAUGUGCCCUUCUCCAUAUCCAAGCUUAAGCAACUUGAGUUUUUGUAAGUUUGAACCGGAUUAUGUUCUCUCUGUCAUUCGAUUAUAUACUUUGAUAUGAGUUCUAAACUGAACUGGUGAAUGCAGGAAUUUAAAGAGUAAUCAGUUGACUGGUCCUAUCCCUUCAACUUUAACCCAAAUUCCGAACCUGAAGACUCUGUAAGUUCUCCUUUUGUCAUUUGUUGAAUUUGAAUUUCAUAGAGCAUAUAGCCUUCUAUGUGUCACUCAUAAAGUGUGAUGAAAAGAGUUGUUCAGCACUAGAUGAGUGACAAAUAGAACACUGCACUCUAUGACAAGAGUUGUUCAGUAUUAAGUUCUAACGAAUUCACUAACAUGUGUACAGGGAUCUUGCUAAAAAUAAGCUCACUGGAGAGAUUCCUAGACUGCUCUAUUGGAAUGAAGUCUUGCAGUACCUGUGGGUUUAAAUCUAUUAUUCGUGUAAUUUACAUAUAUUACUCGUGUUUCUUAAAAGAUUUCAUUGUGAUUCUGCAUUGAUGCAGAGGUUUGCGAGGGAACAUGUUGACUGGAACUUUGUCGCCUGAUAUCUGUCAGCUAACUGGCUUGUGGUAUUUGUGAGUAGUCCUACCCAGUCAAAGUGAUGUUGUUCCUGUUCUUACAUGUUGUCUUACUUUAUUUUUGACCUUUGUUAUUCGGUUCUAUUUUGCAUGAAUUCACAGUGACGUGAGAGGCAACAAUUUGACAGGAACUAUACCUGAAAGCAUUGGAAACUGCACAAGUUUCGAAAUCUUGUACGUUAAGUAUCUGGUUUGAUCCACAUCUGCUUGCAAAUAUUCUUGUCCAUGUUGUGACUCUAUCUUUUCUUGGAGUUUCAGGGACAUAUCUUAUAAUCAGAUUAGUGGGGAGAUUCCCUAUAACAUUGGCUUUCUGCAAGUUGCUACCUUGUGAGUAAUUGGACUCUAGUUGUUUAUUAUUGUCUUUGACUCGAGUUGUUAUUAUUCUAAUGUUAAUAUUAAAUGUUUCUGCUUUUGGAAAAUGGUAAUGAUUCCUGUUAUAUUGAGAGAAGUGUUUAAUCAGUUGUCGUUGUGUUUCCUGCGUAGGUCACUUCAAGGAAAUAGACUAACAGGGAAGAUUCCAGAAGUGAUUGGCUUAAUGCAAGCCCUCGCAAUUUUGUAAGUGUGCUAAUCAUUCAAUGAGUGUAAAGACAUAAACGACAUAUUUUUGCUUGAGAAUGCUUUUCAUUAUCAUAUUUUUGGGUUAACUGCUGAAAUGUGUAUUGUUAUAUCUUGGCAUUUUUGUAGGGAUUUGAGUGAGAAUGAAUUAGUGGGACCAAUUCCUCCGAUAUUUGGCAAUCUGUCCUUUACUGGAAAACUGUGAGUGUUACAUUAUACUGAUUUGAUCUCCUCUUAGUUAUUGCUUCUUGGCUAAUAUCUUUAUACAUCUAGGUACUUACAUGGAAACAUGCUUACCGGUCCAAUACCUCCGGAGCUUGGCAAUAUGUCCAAAUUGAGCUACCUGUAAGAUGAUCUCUAAUAUUUGUGUCAUCAUUAUCUUUAGUUUUUUCUUCAUGUAUUCACUAAGUUUAUCUUUUACAGGCAAUUGAAUGACAAUCAACUUGUGGGAAAAAUUCCUGAUGAAAUUGGGAAUCUUGAACAUCUGUUUGAAUUGUGAGCUAAUUUUUUUCUGAUGUUAUUCUAUAUUGGAUACGAGUUAAUGGCGCUAGUGGUGUUAAGUUGAAUCUUUUACUGUUGUUCAGGAAUCUUGCCAAUAAUCAUCUUGAUGGAACUAUCCCGCAUAAUAUAAGCUCCUGCACUGCCUUAAACCAGUUGUAAGAACUCAAGCACUAAUCAAUUGUUAUGUGGAGCAGUUUAGAUUAUAUUGUAGUUUGAAUAUCUUAGCAUAAACUGAUGUUCAUUUAAUUGGUUUUAUUUUGCAGUAAUGUGCAUGGGAAUCAGUUAAGCGGUUCUAUUCCGUUGAGCUUUCGCAACCUUGAGAGUUUGACUUACUUGUAUGCAAUGCUCCACAGUUAGUUAGACUUGUUUCAUUAUAUUCUGUAGUAGAUCACUUUCCUCUUUAGUGAAAUAACAGUAAACUUGUUUGGUAUUCAGGAAUCUCUCUGCUAACAACUUCAAGGGGAAUAUACCAGUUGAGUUGGGACACAUCAUUAAUCUUGACACGCUGUAAGUUUGAUGAAAACUUGUAUCUGCUCUAAAUUGCAAUAUAUUCAGAUUUCAGAGUACUAAUUUUUUGUUUUGUAUUAACUUUCAGGGACUUAUCUAGCAAUAAUUUUUCUGGGCAUGUGCCAGCAUCUGUUGGUUAUCUAGAGCAUCUUUUGACCCUGUGAGAUGAAACUUAAUGAUAAAUUGUUUUCUAUUGUAGUCCUUGGCUUUUGUGAAUAACUGACAUUCUAAAAAUGUUCAGGAACUUAAGUCAUAACCAUCUUGCUGGAACAUUGCCUGCUGAAUUAGGGAAUCUCCGAAGCAUACAAAUUAUGUAAGUUUUGGACUCCUUUGAUGAAGAUUUAAGUGUCAAAAUCAUGUUAAGUUAUCUAUCGUUUUUCUUUUGUUUGGUGUUUAAUAAUUUGUUUUUUGCUCCUAGUGACUUGUCAUUCAACAACAUGUCGGGUAGCAUUCCUGUGGAUUUUGGCCAGCUGCAAAACCUUGCGUCUCUGUACGUUUAAUUCUGAAAUUUUUAAUCAAAUUUUGGUUUGAUAAUUUCCAUGAUCUAUUUGUGUACUAGUUCACUGAUUUAUCUUUACUGGAAUUGUAUGAUAGGAUAUUGAACAACAAUGAUUUGCGUGGGAGGAUUCCUGAUCAGCUGACUAAUUGUUUCAGUCUUUCCUCUCUGUGAGUAUAGUCAUCCAUUUGCUUUCCAUCUUAUAUUUUUCUCAUGUUGCUUAUGAUUAUGAAUUAUGUCUCAUGACAUUUUUUUUUUCUUGUUUUAGAAACUUCUCUUAUAAUAACUUAUCUGGAGCUAUUCCAUCUAUGAAGAACUUCUCAAGGUUUUCAGCUGACAGGUAGUGCAGUGAGCAAUACCUUGUAAUUUCUUGGUUUUUAACGUUUAUGUAUCCGUGACUUGUUAUGUGAAAUUUUGCAGCUUCAUUGGAAAUUCUUUACUAUGUGGAGAUUGGGUCGGAUCAAUAUGUCAUCCUUAUACACCAAAAACAAGAGGUUUGACGGUGACAGCUAUUUGAAAUGUUUUUUUUUAUUUACACUGAGUUGUUUGUUUCUAUAUAUAUAAACCAUAUCUUGUCUAUUUUUCAGAGAUUUUCUGCAGAGUAGCAGUUGUAUGUCUCACUCUUGGCGUCUUACUGUUAUUGGUGAUGGUAAUUGUUGCUAUCUAUAGAUCCAGCCGAUCGAAGCAGUUGAUGAAAGGAACUGGCAGAACUGGGCAAGGCAUGUCGAACUCUAGAACUGCUAAUGCGAUAGCAAGUUUAAUUAACCCUAAAUUCUUACUUGUUAUUUGUUAUCUUGUGUUCAGGGCCCCCCAAACUUGUCAUUCUUCAUAUGGAUUUGGCUAUGCACACCUUGGAUGAUAUGAUGAGGAGCACUGAGAAUCUCAGUGAGAAAUAUAUCAUAGGUUAUGGUGCCACUAGCACUGUAUACAAGUGUGCAUUGAAAAAUUCCCGACCAAUUGCAAUCAAGCGCUUGUUGUACAACCAGCAUCAUCCACACAGUUUGAGGGAAUUUGAAACGGAACUUGAAACAAUUGGCAGCAUUAGGCAUAGGAACCUUGUCACCUUGCAUGGCUAUGCCCUUACUCCCAACGGAAAUCUCCUUUUCUAUGACUAUAUGGCAAAUGGCUCACUUUGGGAUCUUCUACAUGGUAGUUUUGCUGUAAAUUGUUUCAGUAAUGAUUGUGACAAAUAUUUAAAUGGAUGCUUUGGACAUUUUAAUUUUCUCUAUAAGUUAAAAAUGCAUGUUUGUUUAUUUCUUUACAAUGUCAAGAGUCAAGGUCGAGUUUGUAUUUUUGUGCCUAAUCUUGUCUGACACAGGUCCCUUGAAGGUAAAACUGGAUUGGGAAACGCGGCUGAGGAUUGCUGUAGGAGCUGCUGAAGGACUAGCUUAUCUCCAUCAUGACUGCAACCCUCGAAUUGUUCACAGGGAUAUAAAGUCUUCAAACAUUUUGCUGGAUGAGAACUUUGAGGCUCAUGUCUCCGAUUUCGGCACUGCCAAAUGCAUCGCUGCCACAAGAACUCAUGCAUCAACUUAUGUUCUUGGAACCAUAGGCUACAUUGAUCCUGAGUAUGCACGGACAUCUAGGCUGAAUGAAAAAUCAGAUGUAUAUAGCUUUGGCAUUGUUCUGCUAGAGCUACUUACUGGGAAGAAAGCAGUGGACAAUGAGUCUAAUUUGCAUCAAUGGGUAUGUGCAUUAUUUACAUCAAUCUCUUCGUCCUUAACCAUAUUUAUAACCUUUCUAGUCUUUAUUAUAUUUUUUUUGGUGUUGUUUCAUUCAUUUUUCGUCUGUUUAUUGCGAACUUUUCAGAUAUUGGCCAAGGCAGAUAACAACACUGUAAUGGAAGCUGUGGAUCCAGAAGUCUCCAUUACCUGCAUUGAUCUGGCUCAUGUUAAGAAGACUUUCCAGCUUGCUCUGCUCUGCACAAAAGGGAACCCUUCUGAGAGGCCUAGCAUGCAUGAAGUGGCCAGGGUACUGGUAUCACUGCUUCCUUCACCUCCAAGUAAAGCUCUCACCGCACCUGCAAAGUCGUUUGACUAUGUGCAUUUUGUGAUUGAGAAGGGUCAACAACAGAAAAUGGAAGGACUGCAACAACCUAGGCAAGAUCAAAAUACUUCCAAUGCUCAAUGGUUUGUUCGGUUUGGGGAUGUUAUAUCUAAGAGCACUCUUUGAGAAAAUGGAGUAGGAGGGCCAUAUGGAUGUGCCCCUAAAAGGCUUUAUAGCAAAAAUAGCUUGAAAGAUACUUUUGUUGUAUAUUCUAAAAGCACUUGUUACUAGGUUUUAGAAUCUGGAAUGGUUUGAGCAUAAAUAUUGCUCAUUUUGCUUUUAUGCUUGACACUGAUUUUGUAACUGAUGAUAUAUGGAUGGUGGGGGUAUGGGGUUAUUAAGAAGCACUUUCUGCUUGACUUGUGAAAUAUUUUACUCUAGCAGCUAUAUUUUGAGUAUUAUUUAGUCGAGAAACAAUUUGAAAUGAACAAGAGUUGUUAUCUAUUUGAAAGUACAUAUAGAAUUGAUUCUAAAAUCUGAAUCAAUUCUGAGAGAAGAGGACCUUAUACAAACACUAAACAAACAUCAUUGGUGCCAUUACCUUUUUCCUGUCUCAAUUUUUACAAUCCACACUGCACAUUGUCAACAAAGGAAACCCAUUAAAAGACAUUCUUCAGAGUAAAUUAGCAGAGGCUGAUCAAGGAAAGUCUUGGUACUUGGUCUUUCCUUCUUCAUCAUCCUGCCUAUAUCAGUUCCAGUUUCGGGUACUUUUUCUUAAGCAGCCCCUCAAUCACAGAGCUGCUGGUUACCAUGGAGAAGCAUCCAAAAGCUUGCUUUCUUCCAGUUUUCCGCAUGAUCUGUUGAGGCCAAAAAACAACCGUUAACUGCUUUUAUUGUAUUGAAACUAAGAAAUAGAAAGUAAUGAAAAGAGAAGUUGUGUAGUGUGUAGUACUAUUACCUUUGGUGGAUCCCACUUUCCAAUUUGAUUUGCUUUUCUUACAUAGCUUCCUCUUCUGCUCAUCAUAAUAAGCUCUCCAAGUGUUGCUGGCCUCCUUACCAUGUCACUGGGACAAUCUUCACUCCCAAAAUCUUUCCCUUUUUGUUCUAAUGCACCUAAAGAUAACACCUUUGUUGAGUUCCCAUCCCUUUCAAGGAAGCUAGACUUGGUAGGUGUACGCAAAGGAAAAAGGCACUCCAAGAUAGCAGAACCAGUUGGGCUUGACCUACCUGUUGCAUAGCUACUUGUAUCACUAUCUGUCUCUGAGGAAGCUGGUGAAGAUGGAGUUUCAAGCUGGUCACAGUCAUGUUCAGAUGAUGACUUUUCAUGCAGUGGAAUAGCAUUAGAAAUUUUUGCUGAUGAUACAAGACAAUUUGCUAGCAAAGAGGGAGCUGCAUCAAAGCUAAAUGCUUCAAGGUCCAAGUUAGUUGUUAUACUUUGACUGUCACGGCUGCUUUGUUUGUUAUUGUAAUCAUAAUCAUAGUUGGAAGCAAGGGAGUAUCCUGAAGAUGAUGCUACAUGAAAAAGUAUUGUGCUUGGUUUUGGAGGCACAUAAUCCACUGAAACAUGUGAGAAAUUAGGAAGGGGUAUUCCAGGCUUUUCUUCCCAAACAAAGGGAACUGAGGCAAUUAGUUUGAGUGGAAUUUUAGGCAAGUAGUGGUUGCAAACUGAAGAAGAUGCUUCUGGCUUCCAAUCUUUCUUGGGAAUGCCUGGCAUUAAUUCCCAUAAGAAAGGAACUGAUGGUGGUUCCCUAACAUGCUUCUUUGUUUGAUCCAUUUUUCAUUGCAUUGCUUUGGUGAGUUUGCACUAGUCCAUCUUAUAAUCAAGUUGUGAGUGUGAUUAGUAGUGGUUUACUACCAACUCUUGUUAACUGCACCAUUUUGUUCUCCUAGAGAUUAGCUGAUUAGGCAUACCUGCCCUCCAUCCCAACUUUGUUUACAAGUUUCUUACUACGUGGCAUGUAGACUUGGAAUCCAUGGAAUUAUGAAAUCACUCAUGUGGCACAAGCAUUUCAUAGGUUUUAAUUUUCUGUGUUAAAGCUUACCAAGUCCUGACUUAAUCUGGUCAGGUAUGCAAACAAAUAAAUAGUUAGUUUAUUUUCAUGCUGGUUCAUGGACUUUGAGUUAGCCUAAUAUGUCCUGAUGUCAGCAUAACAUUUUAAAAAAAUUAAGAUUUUAAAAUUUAUUUUAUUUUGACUAUACUAUUCAUAGAUAAUGUUAUUUAUUUUAAAAUAUCACACCUUAGUUUAUGUUUUUUAAAUUCAUGAAUUAGCUACAUAUUUAGUAUUUAAACCUAUGUAUACGAUCACUUGUUGACUCAGUUGAUAAUGACAAACUACUUCCCCUCAUAAGAUUGUGUUCGAAUGUUCGAUAUUCAAUGUCAAUCUGAUGUCUAUUUUAGUGGGGAUUCACAAGCACAUUUGUAAGCGACAUAUAGUUUUGGAGGUAUCUCAUGUCCCAUAGCGGUGACCGAAACUGAAACCCACUUAAACAUUUAUUCAUCUCAGUAAAUUGUAGUCAGCACAAUCAAGCGCCUAAAUCAACUAACAAAGAUUGUUUUAUAAUGAAUGACUUUUUUUUUCCGAAUGCAUAAUAAUCCUUGGGCUGGUGAUGGUGGCCUAAAUAUACAAUGUCCAAUAUCCUUUUUUUUGUCCAAAUUGUUUUUCAGACACCCCAAAAUCAGUUAUUUACACACACACACCUAUAUGAUUCAAAUAACCAAAGACACUCUUCUUCCCAUGGUCUCUCUUCAGCAAACAUCCUCUUUCCAGUGAAAUUCCGGUAACGUCUCCGCCUGUAAUCGAGCUUCCUCCAACAGUGACCGUCUUCAAUUUCUGAGGUUAGGGUUUGUUUUUAUGCUAUUUGUCUUGCGAUUUGUUUCAGUGAACCACAGUUGCAUUUCUCUGUUCAGUUUUGUUUCCAUUUUAUUAUGAUGCUUAGGGUUUAGCUAACAACCACUCAUCUAAUUCUGAACGAAAUCAAACACAUUAAUUUCACAAACAUUCAUACAUCUUAUCUAAUUCUUAGAGUUGGCACCAUGGUUUGAGUUUGUUUCUGCAGUUCUAACACCACCAAAUAUUUAAUGUACUGUGUUUGCUGUUCUUGUGAUUCAGGGUUUUCAAUUCAAUGGCCUCAAAAACCGAUGGCGAGAAUUCAACCGAUACCACUCCAUCAUUGUAAGGAAAAUUUUCUAUCUUUUUAAGCUUUUUGCUUUGUUUGCAUCAUUUUAUCACAGCUUCAUAUGUGUGUAUAUUAAGCUGGUAUUUUAUUCAUGGUAUGAAAAGAUAAGGGAGUACCAUUCAAUUCAAGGUUGUCAAUCUAGAGAGUUUACGUAAUCUCGUGGAGAGUGUAAUCUCGUAUCGUAAACUCAUAUUGUAAUCUCGUAAGAGAUCAUGCAAUUUUUUUUAAAAGAAACAGUAAUAAUGAUGAAGACGUGCUAAUAACAUUAAAAAUUAACCAAAUCAUCCAAUAAUAACAUUUAAAACCAUGCAUAAAUUACCAAAUAUCGAAAUCUAAGGUGUUCGUAAGUCAUAACUCAUAAUAAAACAUUGACACAAGAUAUGAUCAACUUAAAACAAGAACAAGUAAGCCAUCAAUUUCAAAUUUCCAAUCCUCUAAAGCGAAACAGAACCGAGACCAAUGAGCAUUGCAAAACAUAACAGAGAAAUAGGGAGAGUUGUAACUUCGCAGCAGGGAGCAGCGUCGCAAAGCCCAGGAGAAGACGAGCAGCGUUGCAGAGCAUAGAAGAAGAGGAGAAAAAGGAUCCUCAUUGGAGCUGUGCCGGAGUCUCGCUUCUUAGGUGGAGGCUUAUUCGAGAGAGAACUGAGAAGAGGGGCUGGCUGAUCGAUUCGAACUCGGAAUGGGGGAAGAGAGAAAGGAAAGUCCUAGUAGAACACCCAAAGUGCCUAGAAUGUCCCUGUGCCAAACUUUUUUUCCCAUCAAACCAUGUUUUCUGAUCUCGUGAGCUCACUCUCAAUAUCGCGAGAUCGAGCGAGAUUGCUGUAGUUCAUCUGAAAUUGAUCGAAAACGAGUUUACACUCGACAUAUCAUGAUUUGGCACCCUAAUCUUGUAACGUACGCGAUUACAAUAUAUUACUCGAGACUGACAACCAUUACUACCAUUCAAUGGUGGAAGAUAUUUUAUUUAUUGUAGAAAAGAUAAGUAAUAACCAAUAAUAUUUGUCUUGUACUAGUGUGGUGCACGUACCUUUUUUAAGGGUUUUUUGCAUACUUCAACCCAGUAAUGCAUAAUGGCUAAUGGUUGUUUUUUUUUUCAGGCCAAAGAAUAUAUACAAAGAUCCAGAUGAUGGGCGACAACGGUUUUUGCUUGAAUUGGAAUUUGUUCAAUGCCUUGCUAAUCCUACCUAUAUCCAUUGUAUGAUUUUCACUUUACCCUAUGUGCUUUGAGAGUUUCAGUUUGAUUGAGCUAUAGCUGGCUGCACCUUUGACUGUUGCAUUAUGUAUUUGAAGGUUUAACAAUUUUGUUAAGUUCAGAUCUUUCUUGUUUUUAAUUUCUUCUCUUCAUAUCUUAAGUUACCUUUUCUGUAUAAAAAAACUCUGCAUUGUCAUUUCUACAGUGAGUGUUACUUAAACAGUUUUUUAAUCAGUUUCUUAUAUUUGUUACUCUUUUGAUCAGAUUUGGCUCAGAACCGAUAUUUUGAGGAUGAAGCAUUCAUUGGAUACUUAAAGUAUCUUCAAUAUUGGCAACGCCCUGAGUAUAUCAAAUUUAUUAUGUAAGUAUCAUCUUCAAAUUGUUGGAUUAUGUAAUACAAGUCUUCUAGAGGUUAUGUCUCUUACAUUGUGUUUGGAUAAGGUAUUUUAUAAGUUCGAAGAGUUUAAAAUUCAAUGGUGUUGAAAUGCAGCAAUUCCAUAUCCAUUCUUUGAAAAGUUCUAGCUUGGAUAAUCUUUGAAAUCAUGCUUGAGAGAAUUAUCCAGGCUAGGUGUUUCAUGUAAAAUUCCAUCAUUCUGUCUUACUCUACAGGGGAAUUUACAUAUUCCACCUAUGUAGCUGUGAUUUCAAAUUAUCCCAUUAAAAUACCCGGAAAAGAUACUUUGGAAUUGUAACUUAAUAUUCAAACAAGGGAAUUUUUAUUCAGUAUUUUAAAUACCUCUAAACUGUAAUCCCCCCUUCAAACAACUUAUCCAAAAACAAAGUUAGGGAAAAAGGACUACAUGUUUUUCCACACAUGAACUUCAGCAACUAAUGUGAUGAAGAAUUUGAACUGGUUGUGGCAUCUUCUCAUUUAUUUUUCCCGUACCCCCUUCUUUUAGUGAUGUUUUCUUCAACAAUAGUUGGAUUUCCUUCUGAUUUAGUUGCAAAUUUUAAUGAAUGCUAGGUAUCCUCAUUGCCUCUAUUUUCUUGAGCGUCUUCAGAAUGCAAAUUUUCGCAGUGCAAUGGCUCAUCCUAAUAAUAAGGUAAAUAGUAUUUUUAGCCUGGUAUAAAUCAAAGCUUUCUCUUGGAUUUCAUGUGAAUUAUGCCUGACAAUGGUUACACCAUUUACUAUUCCUUUUUGAAUGGAUUUCCUUUGGUAGCAAAUUUUGCUUGUGAUUGUACGAAUAGUUGAAUUGAUUCCCUUUUACUUACGUUGAACCAUUGUUGUCAAUGGUGAUGGUGGUAUGCCAAAUAUUCGCUAUAAAACUAUGGCGGAUCGUGUUAUGGAUUAUGGCGGAAGCUAUAGUGGCAAUGGAUGUAAGAAUUAUAUUAGUAGGGGAAGAAUAGAAAUUAGUGUGAAUAAAAACAGAUGUGAAUAAGUUAUAGAACUAGUAGACAAAAGUAUGAACUGAAUUGAAUGAAUAAAUGAGGAAAAAGCAGCCAAUGGGCAUUGAAUGACACGGGGAAUUGAGAACAGCAGAACUGGCAUGGAGGAAAGUGAAGUUGAAUAACAGAAAAGGAAAGGGGGAAGCAUCAGGGAGGAGGGGGAGCAUCAGGGAGGAGGGGGAGAAAACCAACACAGAAGAUUGGGGGGGGGGGGGAUGAUGGGAACCAGAAUACAGAAAUAGAGAACAAGGUAUGAGAAUAAGAAAACACUUUGAUUAAUACUGAAAUAGAAGAAACAGAAAUGCAAUAGCUACUGCUAUGGCCCCAGAGUAAGACUCCUGUAGAAGAAGAGACUCUCUUCACUCUACUCUUAACAACCUAUUUCUCAUCAUAACCAUUCUCAUUCUAACAGAAAGCUUAUAUGGGAAUCUCACUCAGCCUUACGCACCUCACACACCCUUCCUACCCGCAAAGGCCGUAACUAACUUGUGCCAGCUCACCCUCCUAAGAUUCCCCUCUCUUAUUCUUUCUCACAUAUACUUUCCAUCCUUUGGGCCUGGUCUCAUUGGCUGUGGCCCAACCAUCACUAAGAGCUCUAUCAGGGGAGCACAGUAAGUAGAUUGAGAGAGGUAGGAAACAGAGAAUAAAGGGGGCUGAAAAAAAGAAAGGGGAAAUGAUCACCGGAGGUGUUGUAGGAAAAAAGUCCCUGGAUGUGGGAGGUCGCAUCAGAGAGAGUUGACCUAGAGAGGGGUAUCAAUGAGAAAAGUUAGUAUUUAGGGUUUCAGAUGGAUUUGAAACCCUCAAAAGGGGUCUGGUCGGCUGGAACUCUGUUUUUUUACUUCCUAAGUUCCGCCAUUGGAGCUAUGGCCACGUCUAGAAUUGGGACCGCCAUAAUCUGCCAUUGAAAGCCUUUCAUGCCUUGACGUUUAUAUGGCAGUCUGCUCAAAAUUGUCCAUGCCAUUCCGCCAUAGCGUCAUCAUGGGUGCAAUUCAACAACACUGCCUUGAACACAAUCUCUUUUUACGAGGGAAACCUACAUUCUUUUGUUGUAUUUGCGAAAUUGUUUGGUGAUAGGUAUUGAUUAAGGGUUGGCGUGAUUGUCCCCCCCCCCCCCAUAUCUAUCUCAUGUCACUAAUAGAUCAUUAGUCAAGUUUGUUGAUUAUGAGUCAUGAAGCAGGCUGUCUGGCUUGCCUUUGUUGAAAUAAAUAAUUUUGAAGAUUUUUUUUGCCUAUUUGUGUUUCAUGGAUUGUACAAACACUGUUUGUCUCUGUAUUUCAGGAGCUGGCACAUAGACAACAAUUUUAUUUCUGGAAGAACUAUAGGAACAAUCGGCUAAAACACAUUUUACCAAGAUCACUUCCUGAACCUAGUGCAACUCCUGCACUUCCUGCUCCUGCGUCAACACCAAUACAGCCACCUGUGCCUGCACUGCCACCAGCACCUGCGACCAAUGUUGCCGUGACAGCAUCAUCUGCUCAAGCUCCUUCUCCCAUGCCAUAUGGUAUACCUCCUGGCUCUGGUCUUGCUAAAAGUGACAUGAGGAAUCCUACAGUUGAUAGAAGGAGGAGAAAGUGAAUGUUUGGCAUCUACUGAUUAAAAACGAUUAAACAAUGCAAUAUGGUUGGAUCAGAUAAUCGAUUUAUGUCUUCCUUUUCAGUUGGGAGAUUGAAGUGGUGAUAAUCAAAUCUCGUUAUAUUUGUAGAAAUAUUUGUAAAACGAUUUUACAAUUGGCAAAUUAUCUAUGUGCCUAAUAUUGCUUUUGUUCGGAGUUUAAAUUUCAAUUAACAGUACAAAUUGGGAGAAGCUGUGGGUCAUAAUAUCGAUUAAAGUGAUAUGGUUCUUGUAACCACGUCGCUGCCUUAUUCUUUAGUUGAAGAUUUUGAUUGGGCAGUUCAUAUACAUGGUGUUCCUAAUGUCAAAAGUUUCGAUUUUAGAAUGAUAGAAAGGACUUUGCUAGCUUCUAAUUGCUUUUUUAUAUUCAUAAAUCAAAGAGCUAGGGACAACAAGGGUGGUGGGUUAUAGUGGAUUAGUGGUGGUGGAAUGUGGCAGUGGCAACAAUAAAGAAUGUUCUGCGGCAGGCAUUUUGAGCCAUGAGAAUGGAGGAUAUCGGGCAACUGUUGUGGUGAUGUCGUGUACCGGGUGGUGCCGAUUAGUAGUGUUCUAGAUGAAGAAAAUUGUCUGAGUGUGGUCAGGUGAAAGUGGGGAUAGAGUCCCUAAUCGUGGUGGUGGCGCGAUAGUAGGCGAAUAUGAUGGUGGAGAAAUAUUUGACGAGGGUUGGUUGUUGUGGAGUUGUGAUGGUGAAGGUCAAUGUCAAUAUGGUGGAGGUGUCGUGCAUGGGUUGCAGCGGCGGGAAUACGUUAAGUACGAUGACAAAGGUGAAAGGUAUGAAAUAACGGAGAUGGAGGUGGAUGGUGAAAAGAAAAUUGAGACAUUGAUCUUUGAUACAUUUGGAAAUAAAAAAGAUUUGGAAAAAAUGAUUAAAACUAUAACCACAACGUGUUUUUAGUUUUGAAAAUAGAGCUAAAACCUUUUUUAAAUUUGAGUUAAAAUUAUUUGAGCUUCAUUUUUUAGAAUAUCAUUUUAGCUUCAUUUCAUUUGGGCAUUUUUUUUUAUAAAAUUUACACUUCAAAAUGAAAAGCAACCUGCAAACGGGGCUUAGUUCAAUUUGUAAAAAAUUGUUUCUAUCCUCAAAUUGGCGUCUCUUUAUUGAUGUUAACUAAUUUGAGUCGCAAAUUCCAAUUGAAGCUAUUCAUAUUUUAUUUAAUAGAAUGAUUGAAGUACCUUUAAUUAAAGAAAAUAUAACUUGGAGUUUAUGAAGAGAAAGUGAGAUUGCGAGUGAGUGAAACAAAGUAUGAUGUAUAAGUUAGAUGUUCAAAUGUCAAUAUUUUAGUUUAUAUUUUCACAUUUAUAUUAAAAAUAAAUAGAUAGAAUUGACAUUGCUCUCCUAGAUGCUAUUGGUUGAAUGGUGUCGCUUCAAUAUGAGAGAAGGUGAGAGAAACUUUCCAUAUGAAAGGAUUUUGAUUCUUGAUCCACUAUCCAAAUUCCAAACAAUGAAAUAUCUUAAAUAUCUUCCCACCCAUUAUGAUUUAUUUCAUUCAUCACAUUCCUUUCUGUCAGAAAGUGUGUAUUAUAAGAUAAGACACCCAUUUGAUUCCAGUGAUAUAUGCACAUUAGCAUUGUUUUCCCAAUUUGAUUACCAGCGUACUUGUUUGAUGCAUAAUACCGGCUACAAAUUAUACUAUCUACGAAAGUAGUGAUGUUGUAAUGAGUUCUAGAUUGAAUACUGUGUUUGAAUUGUGUUGGACACACUCCAAAACGUGUUAGCUAAGAAGCUACAUUGUAGCUUAUGAACAAACAUGAUUUGAGACAUGCAACCAAACAUGCACAAUAACAGUAUAAAUUGCAGUGAUUGUGAAUGUAAGACUCAAACCAAAUCCUUGCAAAACCACAAUAUAUUGCACAAUAACAGUUUAAAUUACACUGAAUGUGAAUUUAAACAUUCAAACCAAAUCCUUAGAGCAACCACAAUAUAUUGUACUGCACAAUAACAGUAUAAACUGCAGUGAAUUUGAAUGUAAACACCCAAACCAAAUCCCUGGCACAACCACAAUAUAUUACAAAGAGCUGGCAGGCACAAUUGCACUAUAAAUGCAAGGGGAGGAACUAAAUGCCAUACUUACAAAGGGGCAACAUGUCUUUGUGCCGGUUCCGCUCAAUAGUUUUCACUUUAUUAGGGGAUUCGGCCGAAGGAUCUUUGGGAAUCGGUGUCUUAACAGGAGAAUAUAAAACUUAAGGUUUCUCCCAAUCAGAUAUACAUUAAGAUACAACAUUAAGCUGGAACAGCUUCUGGAAUUUUGCCGUUGCUCGAGACUGCUACGCUAUCGUAAUAAUCAACAAGCACCUUCCAACCGCCAGGGCACAUGAAUCCAUUAGGAGGGUUUUCUUUGUUCCUUGCAAGUGUGCGCAUC